RNAcentral lists this transfer RNA (88 nucleotides) under Planctomycetota bacterium. RNAcentral describes it as "Planctomycetes bacterium (freshwater metagenome) tRNA-Leu". It matches the Rfam family "tRNA". From Rfam's summary of the family: Transfer RNA (tRNA) molecules are approximately 80 nucleotides in length. Their secondary structure includes four short double-helical elements and three loops (D, anti-codon, and T loops). The record is from RNAcentral. Lineage: Bacteria; Pseudomonadati; Planctomycetota.
GCGCUCGUGGCGGAACUGGCAGACGCGCCAGGUUCAGGUCCUGGUCCGCUUAACGCGGAUGGAGGUUCGACUCCUCUCGAGCGCACCA